RNAcentral lists this ribosomal RNA (432 nucleotides) under uncultured bacterium. RNAcentral describes it as "partial 16S ribosomal RNA". It matches the Rfam family "Bacterial small subunit ribosomal RNA", at positions 29 to 507 of the family's 1533-position model. The record is from RNAcentral.
AACGAACGCUGGCGGCAUGCCUAACACAUGCAAGUCGAACGAGACCUUCGUGUCUAGUUGCGCACGGGUGCGUACGCGUGGGAACCUGCCCUUAGGUUCGGAAUAUCUCCCCGAAAGGGGUGCUUAUCCCGGAUAAUGUUUUCGUACCAAAGCUUUAUCGCCUUUGGAUGAGCCCGCGUUGGAUUAGCUCGUUGGUAGGGUAAAAGCCUACCAAGGCGACGAUUCAUAGCUGGUCUGAGAGGAUGAUCAGCCACACUGGGACUGAGACACGGCCCAGACUCCUACGGGAGGCAGCAGUGGGGAAUAUUGGAAAAUGGGCGAAAGCCUGAACCAGCAAGGCCGCGUGAGUGAUGAAGGCCUUAGGGUUGUAAAGCUCUUUUACCCGGGAUGAUAAUGACAGUACCGGGAGAAUAAGCACCGGCUAACUCCGUG